Molecule: ribosomal RNA, 839 nt
Filed under: uncultured bacterium
Lineage: Bacteria
Description: partial 16S ribosomal RNA
Rfam family: Bacterial small subunit ribosomal RNA
Source: RNAcentral
GGCGGACGGGUGAGUAACACNCCCNNNNNUNGUCUUUACGAGGGGGACAACACUGGAAACGGUUGCUAAUACCCCAUAUGCUUUCAAGUGAAAUGGAUUUCCGCCUAAAGAGAAGCUUGCGGCUGAUUAGCUUGUUGGUAGGGUAAUGGCCUACCAAGGCGACGAUCAGUAUCUGGUUUGAGAGGACCAUCAGACACACUGGAACUGAGACACGGUCCAGACUCCUACGGGAGGCAGCAGUGGGGAAUUUUCCNCAAUGGGCGAAAGCCUGACGGACCAAUACCGCGUGAGGGAUGACGGCCUAUGGGUUGUAAACCUCUUUUUUCAGGGAGGAACAAAAUGACNUGUACCUGAAAAAUAAGCAUCGGCUAACUCCGUGCCAGCAGCCGCGGUAAGACGGAGGAUGCAAGUGUUAUCCGGAAUCACUGGGCGUAAAGCGUCUGUAGGUGGUUUAAUAAGUCAACUGUUAAAUCUUGAGGCUCNACCUCGAAAUCGCAGUCGAAACUAUUAGACUAGAGUAUAGUAGGGGUAAAGGGAAUUUCCAGUGGAGCGGUGAAAUGCGUAGAUAUUUGGAAAGAACACCCGAUGGCGAAGGCACUUUACUGGGCUAUUACUAACACUCAGAGACNAAAGCUAGGGUAGCAAAUGGGAUUANAUACCCCCAGUANUCCUANCUGUAAACAAUGGAUACUAGAUGUUGGACAGAUCGACCUGUGCAGNAUCAAAGCCUAACGCGUUAAGUAUCCCGCCUGGGGAANNAUGCUCGCAAGANUGAAACUCCAAAGGAAUUGACGGGGGCCCGCACAANCCGGUGGAGCNUGUGGUUUAAUUUCNAUGCA